Molecule: ribosomal RNA, 816 nt
Filed under: uncultured bacterium
Lineage: Bacteria
Description: bacterial SSU rRNA
Rfam family: Bacterial small subunit ribosomal RNA
Source: RNAcentral
GGGAGUGGCGGACGGCUGAGUAACACGUAGGAACCUACCCCUUUCUGGACCAUAGCUUGCCGAAAGGCGGGGUAAUAGUCCAUAGUUCCCGACUUAGUCGGGAUAAAGAGAGUAACUUCUUGGAAAGGGAUGGGCCUGCGUCUUAUCAUGGUAGUUGGUAGGGUAAAAGCCUACCAAGCCUAUAACGAGUAGCUGGUCUAAAAGGAUGGUCAGCCAGAGGGGGACUGAGAUACGGCCCCCACUCCUACGGGAGGCAGCAAUCAGGAAUAGUCGGCAAUGGACGAAAGUCUGACCGCGCGACGCCGCGUGUAAAAAGAAGCUCUAACGAGUGUAAACUACUGUAAUAAGGGAAGAAGAUCCGCCUUUGGCGGGUUUGACGGUACCUUAUUAGAAAGGGGCCGCUAACUGCGUGCCAGAAGCGUCGGUAAUACGUGGGCCCCAAACAUUAUCCGGUUUUACUGGGUGUAAAAAGUAGUGUAGGUGUCUAGUUAAGUUUUGCUUUAAAUACUAUAGCUUAACUAUAGGAAAGGGUAAAAUACUGACUGGAUAGAGUUAUUUUUAGGGAGAUUGGAACUCAAGGAGGAGUAGUGAAAUGCGUUGAUACCUUGGGGAACACCAGUGGCGAAAGCGAAUCUCUGAAAGAUAACUGACACUGAGACACGAAAGCUAGGGUAGCGAAGCAGAUUAUAGACCUGCGUAGUCCUAGCCUUAAACGCAUGCUUGCUAGCCGCACCUGUUUGUCUUCGGCAGGAUAGAUGUAACGAAAGUAACCCGUUAAGCAAGCUACCUGGGGAGUACGACCACAAGGUUAAAACU